This 400-nucleotide ribosomal RNA is filed under the name uncultured bacterium. RNAcentral's name for it is "partial 16S ribosomal RNA". It matches the Rfam family "Archaeal small subunit ribosomal RNA", at positions 473 to 873 of the family's 1478-position model. The record is from RNAcentral.
AUACCGGCUGCUCGAGUGAUGGCCACUAUUACUGGGUUUAAAGCGUCCGUAGCUUGACUGUUAGGUCUCUUGGGAAAUCUUUUGGCUUAACCAAAAGGCGUCUAAGAGAUACCGGCAUUCUUGGAACUGGGAGAGGUAAGCCGUACUUCGGGGGUAGGAGUGAAAUCUUGUAAUCCUCGAGGGACGACCUAUGGCGAAGGCAGCUUACCAGAACAGCUUCGACAGUGAGGGACGAAAGCUGGGGGAGCAAACGGGAUUAGAUACCCCGGUAGUCCCAGCCGUAAACAAUGUGCGUUAGGUGUGUCGGUUCCACGCGUAACUGAUGCGCCGAAGAGAAAUCGUGAAACGCACCACCUGGGAAGUACGGUCGCAAGGCUGAAACUUAAAUGAAUUGGCGGGG